AAGUCGUAACAAGGUUUCCGUAGGUGAACCUGCGGAAGGAUCAUUAACACGUAUCCAAACGUUAAAACCCCCCCCGUGAACCUUCAUCCUGCUCUUGUAACCCGCGUAGUUCGCAAUCUCUGAUAAAUCAUAGCCCGGAAAGUUGUAGUGAUUCAGAGACCUCUGGCUACGUGCGAACAUUGGAACAGUUACAAUCGAGCGGUAGUUCUAUAGGCAAUGUUUCCCCAAGCAGUCAGUGUACAAAUGUUAACAAUGGAUAUCUUGGUUCUC
This 270-nucleotide unclassified non-coding RNA is filed under the name fungal sp. RNAcentral describes it as "partial internal transcribed spacer region". The stretch from base 1 to 46 matches the Rfam family "Eukaryotic small subunit ribosomal RNA", at positions 1786 to 1831 of the family's 1831-position model. Lineage: Eukaryota; Fungi. The record is from RNAcentral.